Juglans microcarpa x Juglans regia is the source of this 1336-nucleotide long non-coding RNA. RefSeq lists it as uncharacterized. The record is from RefSeq and is a predicted model, not a curated record. The transcript is spliced from 3 exons. NCBI's taxonomy places the organism in Eukaryota, Viridiplantae, Streptophyta, Magnoliopsida, Fagales, Juglandaceae.
AAGCAUGAAAGAUACCUGCACCUGCUCCAAUAGAGCAACGCUGGACAGCUCGCACCAGGAGUGCCAUGAGUCCUGCUUCAAGCUCAGUAGAUGAUAAUAUUUUCUCGGGUUGGUAUAAUCAUGUACCUUCCCACAAUGGACGCCUGCCAGAGAAAGGAAAUAACAGAGGAGUUCUUCUAUUACCGUCAUCUGACCCAGUCACGGUUGUGGGAUCAAUAUUUUGCUUAUGAACAUUGGGCUUAGAUUGAGGUACUAAUUCAAUCUUGGAAAAACUGCUCUAUUCAUGUCUUCAUAAGUUUUAAAUCAUGAGAUGUCAUUGUGUGGUAUCUUGUAAUGCAUAGAAACUUUCUGGCUUAAAUUUAUUUGGAACCUUUUGAUAUUCCACAUUUCCUCAAAAUUCAUUUUAGUUUCUACAUCUUAGUUAAUUCUAAUAAAUCAGUUUUUGUUUUUGUCUUAAAAGGGAUUUGUUAAAUUGAAAACUAUAUAUAAAUCCUUUGCUACUCAUCACACGACACUUAUUUUAAUUUUUUUAAUUUUUUUUUUUUUUUUGUUUUAUUCCUCCUAAACUAAUUGAGUUAUUCUACCUCAUCAUCCAUACACCACACAUUUGGUAAGGGAAAAAAAAUUAAAAAAAAAAAAAUCAUGUCUGGUGUGUGGUGUGAGGAUGAUGAGUAGAAUUUUUCAAUUCCUUUAUCUUGUUUGGAACAUGUCUAGAAUUACCACCCCCUAAAACCGUCCCCCCUCCCCCCAAUGGUCCUCAAAAAACAAAAAAAUGCCAAGCAGUCACAAUACCUUUGAGUAGCUCAUCAAUCUGAUUUUUCACAGGAUUUUGUACUGAUUUAACCUUGGCGGAUUGACUGUCAAAUAAGUGUUACAUUAAAAGCAUUUCCUUCUCUGUUUUUUUUUUUUCUUUUAUCAUAUAAACACUCACAUGCGGAUUCCGCAUGACAAAGAAGAGCUUGCAGCUCUCCAAGCAAGAUUGAGGAAGCGUUUUCCUGUGGACACAUACAACAACGCUCGAAGGGAAUUCGACCCUAACAGGAUCCUUCUAAUAACAAACUGGAGAAACUGUUCCCAUUAUCAGAUACCAUCUGAGAAGCAUCUUCGUUGUACUACGGCCUUUUCCAAUUAGAGGGUUUGUUUGCUCAAAUCUCUCGAAGUCGUUCUUUAAUUUGUGCCAGAAAAAGGGGUCGAGUGGUCCAUUUGAGCAUCAUGACUUAUGAGAAAGCCAGCUCUGGAUGUAUCACCAUUUUAUACUCUUUUAUCUUUUAUGUUACUUUUCCACACAUAUCUUCGGAUCAUGUAUCUCGUUAGGCUUUAAAUUAAUGGCUGCGUU